This 500-nucleotide ribosomal RNA is filed under the name uncultured bacterium. RNAcentral describes it as "partial 16S ribosomal RNA". It matches the Rfam family "Bacterial small subunit ribosomal RNA", at positions 30 to 523 of the family's 1533-position model. The record is from RNAcentral.
AUUGAACGCUGGCGGCAUGCCUUACACAUGCAAGUCGAACGGCAGCACGGGUGCUUGCACCUGGUGGCGAGUGGCGAACGGGUGAGUAAUACAUCGGAACGUACCUUAUCGUGGGGGAUAACGCAGCGAAAGUUGCGCUAAUACCGCAUACGCCCUGAGGGGGAAAGCGGGGGACCGUAAGGCCUCGCGCGAUUAGAGCGGCCGAUGUCUGAUUAGCUUGUUGGUGAGGUAAAGGCUCACCAAGGCGAUGAUCAGUAGCUGGUCUGAGAGGACGAUCAGCCACACUGGGACUGAGACACGGCCCAGACUCCUACGGGAGGCAGCAGUGGGGAAUUUUGGACAAUGGGGGCAACCCUGAUCCAGCAAUGCCGCGUGAGUGAAGAAGGCCUUCGGGUUGUAAAGCUCUUUUGUCAGGAAGAAACAGCAGCUCUAACACAGUCUGCGAAUGACGGUACCUGAAGAAUAAGCACCGGCUAACUACGUGCCAGCAGCCGCAGUAA